AUACGGAGGGUGCAAGCGUUAAUCGGAAUUACUGGGCGUAAAGCGUACGUAGGCGGUUAUUUAAGUCAGAUGUGAAAGCCCCGGGCUUAACUUGGGAACUGCAUUUGAAACUGGGUAACUAGAGUUUAGUAGAGGGGAGUGGAAUUUCAGGUGUAGCGGUGAAAUGCGUAGAGAUCUGAAGGAACACCAGUGGCGAAGGCGACUCCCUGGACUAAAACUGACGCUGAGGUACGAAAGCGUGGGUAGCAAACAGGAUUAGAAACCCCGGUAGUCC
This 274-nucleotide ribosomal RNA is filed under the name uncultured bacterium. RNAcentral's name for it is "partial 16S ribosomal RNA". It matches the Rfam family "Bacterial small subunit ribosomal RNA", at positions 523 to 796 of the family's 1533-position model. The record is from RNAcentral.